RNAcentral lists this ribosomal RNA (857 nucleotides) under uncultured bacterium. Its description in RNAcentral is "bacterial SSU rRNA". It matches the Rfam family "Bacterial small subunit ribosomal RNA", at positions 34 to 905 of the family's 1533-position model. The record is from RNAcentral.
CGUUGGCGGUGUGCCUAAUACAUGCAAGUCGAGCGAGAAAGCCGGGGCAACUCGGCGAGUACAGCGGCGGAAGGGUGCGUAAUACAUGGAUAACGUACCCUCUAGUUGGGGAUAACCCUCCGAAAGGUGGGCUAAUACCGAAUAAAGGCAGCGGGUGGCAUCAUCUGCUGCUUAAAGACGCAAGUCGCUAGAGGAGCGGUCCAUGGCCUAUCAGCUAGUUGGCGGGGUAACGGCCCACCAAGGCAAUGACGGGUAGCCGGACUGAGAGGUUGAACGGCCACACUGGGACUGAGACACGGCCCAGACAUCUACGGAUGGCAGCAGUAGGGAAUCUUGCGCAAUGGGCGAAAGCCUGACGCAGCGACACCGCGUGGGGGAUGAAGGCCUUCGGGUUGUAAACCCCUUUCAUGAGGGAAGAACACUGACCUAACCUCAGGAAGAAGCACCGGCUAACUCCGUGCCAGCAGCUGCGGUAAUACGGAGAGUGCAAACGUUGUUCGGAUUCACUGGGCGUAAAGGGCACGUAGGCGGCUCGGCAAAUCAGUCGUGGAAUCCCGUCGCUUACCAGCGGAACGGCGGCUGAAAAUACCGGGCUUGAGGGCUUGAGGGGUCACUGGAACUCCCGGUGAAGCGGUGAAAUGCGUAGAUAUCGGGAGGAACGCCGGAGGCGAAAGCGAGUGACUGGCGAGUUCCUGACGCUGAGGUGCGAAAGCUAGGGGAGCAAACAGGAUUAGAUACCCUGGUAGUCCUAGCCGUAAACGAUGGACACUGAGUGAAGGAGGGCUUGCCCUUCUUUGCUGCAGCUAACGCGUUAAGUGUCCCGCCUGGGGAGUACGGCCGCAAGGUUAAAACUCAAA